This 253-nucleotide ribosomal RNA is filed under the name uncultured bacterium. Its description in RNAcentral is "partial 16S ribosomal RNA". It matches the Rfam family "Bacterial small subunit ribosomal RNA", at positions 524 to 776 of the family's 1533-position model. The record is from RNAcentral.
UACGUAGGGUGCAGGCGUUAAUCGGAAUUACUGGGCGUAAAGGGUUCGUAGGUGGCCAACUAAGUCAUACGUGAAAUCCCUCAGCUUAACUGGGGAACUGCGUCUGAUACUGGUUGGCUUGAGUGCAGGAGAGGAACGCGGAAUUCCAGGUGUAGCGGUGAAAUGCGUAGAUAUCUGGAGGAACACCGGUGGCGAAGGCGGCGUUCUGGACUGCAACUGACACUGAGGAACGAAAGCCAGGGGAGCAAACGGG